UGGUGUGAAGUUGAUCUGGCUGCAACAUCUCUCAUUCCAUUGAUUGCCAGGAUUGAUUCGGCUGGUCUGGCUGGUUUGCCGUGGGUUCCCUUGCUUCCUCACCACUCCACGUACAUCCCUCCUGAAUCUGUGCACUUGGUCAGUCAGAGAAGAGGAUCACCCCCAGCAGAGGAGGACUAUUUCUUUGGUCAAAGUGUAUCAGUAGCUAUGUUCCACUACUAGAAUCUCUGUUGUGAAAUCUUCAGAAAUAAAAGUGCUUGUGUUACCUU
Molecule: small nuclear RNA, 269 nt
Filed under: Chinchilla lanigera (long-tailed chinchilla)
Lineage: Eukaryota; Metazoa; Chordata; Mammalia; Rodentia; Chinchillidae
Description: 7SK RNA (ENSCLAG00000022090.1)
Rfam family: 7SK RNA
About the family: 7SK was discovered as an abundant small nuclear RNA in the mid-70s but a possible function has only recently been suggested.
Source: Rfam by way of RNAcentral